Molecule: non-coding RNA, 513 nt
Organism: Camellia sinensis
Lineage: Eukaryota; Viridiplantae; Streptophyta; Magnoliopsida; Ericales; Theaceae
Source: RefSeq, a predicted model, not a curated record
UUUAACUUUUUUAAAUUAUUACAACCAAGAGCUUAAACAGGCAAACGAACAUGGCAAAAAGUGGACAUUGUAAAGGCUGUAGGAACGGCGCCGUGUCUCUCUUUACCGAUUAGCCUGCUGAUUUGCUCGAAUGGGCAUUGAAACCCGAGCUCUCUCUCUCUCUCUCUCUCUCUCUCUCUCCCCGCAUCUCUCUGAUUUUGUAUAUUCCUGAAAACUCAGAUAAUUCCCGGCAUACGAACAACCCUAGCAAUCGUAUACCUCAAUUUCUUUCUCCAAAAAAAGAAAAAAGAAAAAUUGAAAUUCCGAGAAAUAAGAAACACAAAACCAAGCUCAAUGAAACUGCCACAGCGAGGGAAAGAUAUAAAAAAAUAGUUGAAACACAUCGCAGAUCUGUUUUUUGUGGUGUAAUUUCGUCUUAUGAAUAAACAAUCGGGUCAGCGGAGCCUUUAAAUACAAGGCCUAAAGUCACAGAUUUGGAGUCUUAUGCGCAAUUAUUGCUUCAUAGAUUUUUUU